CCAAUAGCGUAUAUUAAAGUUGUUGCAGUUAAAAAGCUCGUAGUUGGAUUUCGGGGUGGCCUGGCUGGUCCGCCGCAAGGUGAGUACUGGUCAGCCGCCCUUCCUCUCGAAAGCCCCGACUGCUCUUUACUGCAGUGGUCGGGUAGUUCGGGACGUUUACUUUGAAAAAAUUAGAGUGUUCAAGGCAGGCUAUCGCCUGAAUACAUUAGCAUGGAAUAAUGGAAGAGGACCUCGGUCCUAUUUUGUUGGUUUCUAGGGCCGAAGUAAUGAUUAAGAGGGACAGUUGGGGGCAUUCGUAUUUAAUUGUCAGAGGUGAAAUUCUUGGAUUUAUGAAAGACGAACUAGUGCGAAAGCAUUUGCCAAGGAUGUUUUCAUUAA
Molecule: ribosomal RNA, 378 nt
Filed under: uncultured eukaryote
Lineage: Eukaryota
Description: partial 18S ribosomal RNA
Rfam family: Eukaryotic small subunit ribosomal RNA
Source: RNAcentral